CGAGAUCUUAUAUGAAGAAUUGUGUGAGGUCGAUGGUGACAGCAACAUGCAUUUUAUGGCGCAGCAACAAGAUUCAGUGUGAUGGAUGCGGAAGGGCUGGCUUUUAGGGCUGAAGUGACCCGUCAGAUUUGGUUUUUGGUUUUCAGAGAUCUGGCACGUCAUUCACGUCAACGGCGCCUGAACCGGUAACAUGCUUCCUCCACCAUAUAUUUACCUUCGUCUUUGGCGGUGGGAGCUUCCGGAAGAGAGGUAUGACGUCUGGUGAAAA
Molecule: long non-coding RNA, 268 nt
Filed under: Brassica napus (rape)
Lineage: Eukaryota; Viridiplantae; Streptophyta; Magnoliopsida; Brassicales; Brassicaceae
Description: long non-coding RNA (BNAP_LNC004187)
Source: RNAcentral